This 74-nucleotide transfer RNA is filed under the name Nippostrongylus brasiliensis. It matches the Rfam family "tRNA". From Rfam's summary of the family: Transfer RNA (tRNA) molecules are approximately 80 nucleotides in length. Their secondary structure includes four short double-helical elements and three loops (D, anti-codon, and T loops). Lineage: Eukaryota; Metazoa; Nematoda; Chromadorea; Rhabditida; Heligmosomidae. The record is from Rfam by way of RNAcentral.
GUCUCAGUAGCAUAAGUGGUUAAUACACAGCCCCGGUUAAGCGCGAGACGCGGGUUCGAAUCUCGCCUGAGAUA